RNAcentral lists this ribosomal RNA (643 nucleotides) under uncultured Actinomycetes bacterium. Its description in RNAcentral is "bacterial SSU rRNA". It matches the Rfam family "Bacterial small subunit ribosomal RNA", at positions 232 to 885 of the family's 1533-position model. Lineage: Bacteria; Bacillati; Actinomycetota; Actinomycetes. The record is from RNAcentral.
CGCGGCCUAUCAGCUUGUUGGUGAGGUAACGGCUCACCAAGGCUUCGACGGGUAGCCGGCCUGAGAGGGCGACCGGCCACACUGGGACUGAGAUACGGCCCAGACUCCUACGGGAGGCAGCAGUGGGGAAUAUUGCACAAUGGGCGAAAGCCUGAUGCAGCAACGCCGCGUGCGGGAUGACGGCCUUCGGGUUGUAAACCGCUUUCAGCUCCGACGAAGCGCAAGUGACGGUAGGAGCAGAAGAAGGACCGGCCAACUACGUGCCAGCAGCCGCGGUGAUACGUAGGGUCCGAGCGUUGUCCGGAAUUAUUGGGCGUAAAGGGCUUGUAGGCGGUUUGUCGCGUCGGAAGUGAAAACUCAGGGCUUAACCCUGAGCCUGCUUCCGAUACGGGCAAACUAGAGGAAUGCAGGGGAGAAUGGAAUUCCUGGUGGAGCGGUGGAAUGCGCAGAUAUCAGGAGGAACACCAGUGGCGAAGGCGGUUCUCUGGGCAUUUCCUGACGCUGAGAAGCGAAAGCGUAGGGAGCAAACAGGCUUAGAUACCCUGGUGGUCCACGCCGUAAACGGUGGGCACUAGGUGUGGGACUCAUUCCACGAGUUCCGUGCCGUAGCUAACUCAUUAAGUGCCCCGCCUGGGGAGUACGG